This 613-nucleotide long non-coding RNA is filed under the name Elaeis guineensis (African oil palm). RNAcentral describes it as "long non-coding RNA (EGUI_LNC027279)". The record is from RNAcentral. Lineage: Eukaryota; Viridiplantae; Streptophyta; Magnoliopsida; Arecales; Arecaceae.
GGAAGUAGUCUGUCCAGAAUUAACAAAAGCUGAGGAAUCUGGGUGACAAGUCAGCAUGUCACACAAAAGGAGAUGUGAUUAAACCUGUGAACAUGACAAUAGCCAGUGUUCGAGUCGUCAAUGGUCUAUGCCAUUGUUGUUGAAGCUAAGCAAGAUGUAGUCAUGCUUUUUGUAUGAGUCUAGUCAUACAUAUAGAGAAUUCUGAAUGGUUGGGCAAUGAAAUAGAAUUGCCUGUUCUUUCGACUUUGGGUUUGUAUGAUCUCUAUAUGACCGGUUGUCAUUUUAGGUUUAAGAGACUGGUGAAAAAGCUUACGGAAUGGGCUUAUUUGGUUUCUACUUAAGGUAGAUUGUACAUGAUCAUGUGUGGGUAGUGCUAAUUGCUAAACAUGAGCUCUUUGAUGGAAAAAUAAGAAAUCUUAAGAGUCCGUUUGGUUAGGGUAUGUCAAAUUACGGAUAAUCUAACAAUUCUUGGGAAUCAUUUAUCUGUGAAUAUAAUUGCGGAGGAAAAUAAUUUUCAUUAUAUUUGGUUGGUGGAAAAAAUCCUUUGAAAAAUAACACUGGAAAAAGAUUACUAUGUUUGGUUGGAAGUAAGUUUAUUUAGGAAUAUGGCCCA